UCCCCAGUGGCUCAGCAGUAAAGAAUCUGCCUGCCAUGCAGGAGACUCAGGUUCAAUCCCUGGCUUGGGAA
This 71-nucleotide transfer RNA is filed under the name Bos taurus (domestic cattle). It matches the Rfam family "tRNA". Rfam says of the family: Transfer RNA (tRNA) molecules are approximately 80 nucleotides in length. RNAcentral also lists the same sequence under 4 other names. The record is from Rfam by way of RNAcentral. Lineage: Eukaryota; Metazoa; Chordata; Mammalia; Artiodactyla; Bovidae.